Molecule: ribosomal RNA, 590 nt
Filed under: uncultured bacterium
Lineage: Bacteria
Description: bacterial SSU rRNA
Rfam family: Bacterial small subunit ribosomal RNA
Source: RNAcentral
GGGAUAACAGCUGGAAACGGCUGCUAAUACCGCAUAAGCGCACAGUGUCGCAUGAUGUGGUGUGAAAAACUCCGGUGGUAUAAGAUGGACCCGCGUUUGAUUAGCUAGUUGGUGAGAUAACGGCCCACCAAGGCGACGAUCCAUAGCCGACCUGAGAGGGUGACCGGCCACAUUGGGACUGAGACACGGCCCAAACUCCUACGGGAGGCAGCAGUGGGGAAUAUUGCACAAUGGGCGAAAGCCUGAUGCAGCGACGCCGCGUGAGCGAAGAAGUAUUUCGGUAUGUAAAGCUCUAUCAGCAGGGAAGAUAAUGACGGUACCUGACUAAGAAGCACCGGCUAAAUACGUGCCAGCAGCCGCGGUAAUACGUAUGGUGCAAGCGUUAUCCGGAUUUACUGGGUGUAAAGGGAGCGCAGGCGGUGCGGCAAGUCUGAUGUGAAAGCCCGGGGCUCAACCCCGGUACUGCAUUGGAAACUGUCGUACUAGAGUGUCGGAGGGGUAAGCGGAAUUCCUAGUGUAGCGGUGAAAUGCGUAGAUAUUAGGAGGAACACCAGUGGCGAAGGCGGCUUACUGGACGAUAACUGACGCUG